RNAcentral lists this ribosomal RNA (253 nucleotides) under uncultured bacterium. Its description in RNAcentral is "partial 16S ribosomal RNA". It matches the Rfam family "Bacterial small subunit ribosomal RNA", at positions 524 to 776 of the family's 1533-position model. The record is from RNAcentral.
UACGUAGGGGGCAAGCGUUGUCCGGAAUCAUUGGGCGUAAAGAGCGUGUAGGCGGCCCGAUAAGUCCGCUGUGAAAGUCCAGGGCUCAACCCUGGAAUGCCGGUGGAUACUGUCGGGCUCGAGUUCGGAAGAGGUGAGUGGAAUUCCUGGUGUAGCGGUGAAAUGCGCAGAUAUCAGGAGGAACACCGGUGGCGAAGGCGGGUCUCUGGGCCGAUACUGACGCUGAGGAGCGAAAGCGUGGGGAGCGAACAGG